GGGAGAGCCGGCAGCAGCAGCAGCUCCCAGCUGAUUCAGUCGUUACCUAAUUGCUGGCAGCAGAGCCGUGAGUUCAGGAGACCAUGGAUAGACGGAUAAUUGCAGUCCAGACUUACGAAACAGCAAGAGCCAGGCCCUGAGAAGAGAGUACAAAUGCCGUGCUCCCUGGUGGAGGGUAUUUUAAGGAGAAGAGAUCUGACAUCUUGCUAUUGUGCUGUAUUCACCAGAAUGUUAUCUCUUUUAAUGAUGACCACAUGCCUGAAUUCUGCACAGAUACCAACAGCAGGGAUAGGUGAGGAGCCCAUGGGCAGAGUGAGAAGAGCAGUCCUAUUCACACAAGGAAUGUUUGGUCUUUCAUCUGGUAAGGCUUGAUAUCACCACAAUAAUUGGAGGCAAGAGAAGACAUCAAUUGGAAGAGCCCAUUGUCUAAGUAGCAGUGAUAUAAAAAUUUACCCUUGAAGGAGAUGGGCCAUUCCCACCCUCCUCCCAAGACUCUCUGUCAUGUGAUGCUGAGUUUCCAAAAGGAGUGGCAGCUGUGCUGCAUGUCAGCAAUGGGAGGUACACAGAGUAAAGGAUGCCUGAUGCCAUGCUUGGGUGCUGUAGACUGGAGGUGGUGUCGAGAAUUGAACACAAACAGAAUCCAGAUCAAGAAGCAAGAUGAGGAAAAUGAGAUUCUCUGACUCCCUUCUGUUUGCAAAUCAAAAGCUUUGACUUACCACUAGGCGGCACUCUUCACUCUGUUAUCUUUCUGAAGCCUUCAGCCCCGUAGGGCUGCUAUUCAAAUAGAAGCACUGCAUUUACUAACGUUUGUGAAUUGUUUAGGAAUAAUCAGAAGCACACUACAAUUCUGGACAGAUUUUUUUCCCCUAAUGCUUCUGUUGAUUGUGACACAAAGUCCUUGACUGCAUCAAACGUAACCUGGAAGGAUUCAGCAAAUCCAACUUGCCUUUGCAACCGUACCUAAAAUGUACUUCACCAUCGUAAAUUUUUUAUUCUCAUAAAGUAGACAAAGUACAAAAU
This 1020-nucleotide long non-coding RNA is filed under the name Equus asinus (donkey). Its description in RNAcentral is "lncRNA (ENSEASG00005031044.1)". The record is from RNAcentral. Lineage: Eukaryota; Metazoa; Chordata; Mammalia; Perissodactyla; Equidae.